This 472-nucleotide ribosomal RNA is filed under the name uncultured Leptothrix sp. RNAcentral describes it as "bacterial SSU rRNA". It matches the Rfam family "Bacterial small subunit ribosomal RNA", at positions 8 to 479 of the family's 1533-position model. The record is from RNAcentral. Lineage: Bacteria; Pseudomonadati; Pseudomonadota; Betaproteobacteria; Burkholderiales; Sphaerotilaceae.
AGAGUUUGAUCCUGGCUCAGAUUGAACGCUGGCGGUAUGCCUUACACAUGCAAGUCGAACGGUAGAGGGGCAACCCUUGAGAGUGGCGAACGGGUGAGUAAUACAUCGGAACGUGCCCAGUCGUGGGGGAUAACGUAGCGAAAGCUACGCUAAUACCGCAUACGACCCGAGGGUGAAAGCGGGGGACUCGCAAGAGCCUCGCGCGAUUGGAGCGGCCGAUGGCAGAUUAGGUAGUUGGUGGGGUAAAGGCCCACCAAGCCUGCGAUCUGUAGCUGGUCUGAGAGGACGACCAGCCACACUGGGACUGAGACACGGCCCAGACUCCUACGGGAGGCAGCAGUGGGGAAUUUUGGACAAUGGGCGAAAGCCUGAUCCAGCCAUACCGCGUGCGGGAAGAAGGCCUUCGGGUUGUAAACCGCUUUUGUCAGGGAAGAAAUCCUUUGGGUUAAUACCUCGGAGGGAUGACGGUACC